GAUGAAGAACGUAGCGAAAUGCGAUAAGUAAUGUGAAUUGCAGAAUUCAGUGAAUCAUCGAAUCUUUGAACGCACAUUGCGCCCGCCAGUAUUCUGGCGGGCAUGCCUGUUCGAGCGUCAUUACAACCCUCAAGCCCCCGGGCCUGGCGUUGGGGAUCGGCGGAAGCCCCCUGCGGGCACAACGCCGUCCCCCAAAUACAGUGGCGGUCCCGCCGCAGCUUCCAUUGCGUAGUAGCUAACACCUCGCAACUGGAGAGCGGCGCGGCCACGCCGUAAAACACCCAACUUCUGAAUGUUGACCUCGAAUCAGGUAGGAAUACCCGCUGAACUUAAGCAUAUCAAUAAGCGGAGGA
Molecule: unclassified non-coding RNA, 353 nt
Filed under: soil metagenome
Description: partial contains 5.8S ribosomal RNA, internal transcribed spacer 2, and large subunit ribosomal RNA
Rfam family: 5.8S ribosomal RNA (bases 1-120)
Source: RNAcentral